GUCUUUAAUAGCUGAGUAGUACUCCAUUGUGUAAAUGUACCACAUUUUCUGUAUCCAUUACUCUGUUGAGGGACAUCUGGGUUCUUUCCAGCUUCUGGCUAUUAUAAAUAAGGCUUCUAUGAACAUAUUGGAGCAUGUGUCCUCAUUACAAUUUGGAACAUCUUCUGGGUAUAUGCUCAGGAGAGGUAUUGUUGGAUCUUCUGAUAGUACUAGGCCCAAUUUUCUGAGGAACCGCCAAACUUAUUUCCAGAGUGGUUAUACCAGCUUGCAAUCCCACCAGCAAUGGAGGAGUGUUCCUCUUUCUUCACAUCCUCACCAGCAUCUGCUGUCACCUGAAUUUUUGAUCUUAGCCUUUCUGACUGAUGUGAGGUGGAGUCUCAGGGUUGUUUUGAUUUGCAUUUCUCUAAUGAUUAAGGAUGUUGAACAUUUUUUCAGGUGGUUCUCAGCCAUUCGGUAGUCCUUAGUUGAUAUUCUUUGUUUAGUUUUGUACCCCAAGGAGGAAUGAAGUCCUAAUUACUGUACGUGUAUUAUUUCUGAAAUUUGGUGAAAACCUUUUACAUAAAAGCUACAAACAAAAAAAAUGACAAGUAAACAAUUUUGUACAAGAAAUUUAACACCUUUUGUAGAGUGUCAUUACAUUGCUGUUAUCAUUGGUACAAACUCUUUGUAGUUCCCUGACCAUCCCAUCAAUGUCUGCUUCCCUGAUCAUUCCAUCAAUCUCUUCAUCUGUUAAAUUCUCCCCAAGGUUUCUCAUCACAUCGCAAAGCUCUGCUGCACUAAUAUAGCCAUUACUAUCCUGAUCAAGCACACAGAAUGAUGCUCUGAUUUCUUCUUCACUGUCUAUGUCUCUAAUUUUUCUUGCCAUCAUAGUCAGAAGUUCAGGGAAGUCAACUGUUCCAAUACCAUCCGCAUCUACUUCAUUGAUCAUGUUCUGGAGUUUGCUUCUGUGGGGUUCUGCCCCAGACACCUAUGAAAUUGUGGGUACUGUGUUCCUAAUGAAGAGAUUUGGAAAACACACUGAGUCCUUAAGGUGCUGAUUCUACACAGUGUAUGCCAUCUGAGCUUUGAUCCCCUUUUUCUUAUGCUGGAGUUACAGAUGUGUGUCACAGUGCCUGUCUCAGUAAAUUAUAUCUUUACAACUAUGAACUGUUUGUAAAAACCGUGAAGCUUUGCUAUAUUCUUUCCUGUUCAACACGGUUACAAUUUCUCCAGUAAUUUUAACUUUAUUAAUACAAUUGCUGAGGUUUUAUUUAGGUUUAUCAGUAGUGUCACUUGCAGCAUCAGUAUGAAAUUGGAAAUCUGAAUAUGACAACAUUAUCUUUCUUUAGAUUUUAUCAGAAUUUAGUUUGUUUUGUAGAUUUUAUCUUGGAGGUAUUUGAUCAUUACCGUAGAUUGAUGCUUUAUUUAUUCAGGCAUUUUUAAAUUAAUUUUUAAAAUUUUAUUCAUUUUAAAAAAGAAUUAUGUAAUAUAGAACUUCGAAUUAAAAAGUAAAUAUUAUUAAUUCAGAAUAUGUCAGAGGUAAUUUUUCAAGCAAAUGUCACAUUGAGGAAUAUUUAUGAAAGGUAGUUUAAUGAAAAUUUUGAAAUUAUAUUAUGUCAUGGAUGUUAAUAGAAAAUCAACCAACUCUGGUAAAAAACAAAACAAAAACGAAUAAACAG
This 1658-nucleotide long non-coding RNA is filed under the name Mus musculus (house mouse). Its description in RNAcentral is "long non-coding RNA chr6:133113287-133114945". Lineage: Eukaryota; Metazoa; Chordata; Mammalia; Rodentia; Muridae. The record is from RNAcentral.